RNAcentral lists this transfer RNA (74 nucleotides) under Promethearchaeota archaeon. RNAcentral describes it as "Candidatus Lokiarchaeota archaeon (permafrost metagenome) tRNA-Lys". It matches the Rfam family "tRNA". From Rfam's summary of the family: Transfer RNA (tRNA) molecules are approximately 80 nucleotides in length. The record is from RNAcentral. Lineage: Archaea; Promethearchaeati; Promethearchaeota.
GGGCUAUUAGCGCAGGCAGGUAGCGCAGCAGGCUUUUAACCUGAAGGUCGGGGGUUCAAAUCCCCUAUAGCCCG